GGUUCCAUCCCCAGCACCAGAGAGAAGGUAGAGCUGGGGCGUCUGGCUCCCAUGGCCCCCUCAGGGCCUGG
This 71-nucleotide microRNA precursor is filed under the name Chinchilla lanigera (long-tailed chinchilla). Its description in RNAcentral is "miRNA (ENSCLAG00000021120.1)". The record is from RNAcentral. Lineage: Eukaryota; Metazoa; Chordata; Mammalia; Rodentia; Chinchillidae.